AUUGACUGGCCAAAAAAACAAGCAUGCAUGGGGUAAUGUUAAGUGCUCAACAGGAGUAGGAAGACCUUCAAAUCAUAGAAGGCUAAUCACCACCACAAUUCUCAUGCGCAACAGGGGGUAUGUCAGAAAUGUUGGAUCCACUUUUGGAUGAUAAAAAGUGAAACACUUAGGUCCACUCAAUUUCUAGAGGAGAAUAGUAAACCAACCAAAUCGAGCAAAGAUUCCUAGAGGAGAAUAGGAACACAGAUGCUAUAUCUGGGAUGCAUAGAGGAAAGAUGGAGCAGCGAGGGAGGGAACUCGAGUUGAAGGAAGACUCACCGUGUGGUGUUGAAGAUCCAUCUCAUCGGUAUCUUCACUAGUCUGAGACUCUGGUCUAUUAGCACUCCCCCAAAGCGGAUUAUCCUACGUAGACAUCAGAUAUAAUUCUUAAUUACUGGUUUUUGUUUCCAGUAACACACACAGGGUCUCGUGUGUGCAGACUAUCAAGAAUCAGGACCCUUAUGACUUUUGAGCAAAAGGCGGUUGAAAGGGAGACUUACCAAUUUACCAUGCCCUGUUGAAGAUCCAUCUCAUCAGCAUCGUCGUCACUAUUCUCCUGUUACAAAAAAGACUCUGGUCUAUUAGCACUCCCCAGAUAAACUAAAUAUAGACAUCAGAUAUCAUGGAAAUCAAAUAUAAUUCCUAAUAACUGAUUUUUAUUUCCAGUAACCUUCAUUCAGCUCAGCUGUAUCUUGUGCAGUACUAAGAAAACAACCAUGCAAAUAUGCAAUACAGAUCAAUGAUUAAGAGAAUCAUGACAUGCACAAGCUGAGUACAGAAUGUUUUUUUUAGUUAUGGAAUGGUCAGUACCUUCAGUUGAGACUCUUGAGAGCUAUCGGCAGCGGUAAGAGCUUCACGGGCUUGGUAAUCCACCAAGUCGCUCUCUUGAAGUUCUGCAUUG
This 940-nucleotide long non-coding RNA is filed under the name Hordeum vulgare. RNAcentral describes it as "long non-coding RNA (HVUL_LNC011257)". Lineage: Eukaryota; Viridiplantae; Streptophyta; Magnoliopsida; Poales; Poaceae. The record is from RNAcentral.